RNAcentral lists this ribosomal RNA (460 nucleotides) under uncultured bacterium. Its description in RNAcentral is "partial 16S ribosomal RNA". It matches the Rfam family "Bacterial small subunit ribosomal RNA", at positions 338 to 795 of the family's 1533-position model. The record is from RNAcentral.
CCUACGGGUGGCAGCAGUGAGGAAUAUUGGUCAAUGGCCGUAAGGCUGAACCAGCCAAGUCGCGUGAAGGAAGAAGGACCUAUGGUUUGUAAACUUCUUUUAUCGGGGAAUAAAGGUAUCCACGUGUGGAUAUUUGCAUGUACCCUAUGAAUAAGCAUCGGCUAACUCCGGGCCAGCAGCCGCGGUUAUACGGAGGAUGCGAGCGUUUAUCGGAUUUAUUGGGUUUAAAGGGUGCGUAGGGUGGUUUUUAAGGUAGCGGUGAAAGUGUGUGGCUCAACCAUAAAAUUGCCGUUGAAACUGGAAGACUUGAGUGGGUGAGAGGUAGGCGGAAUGCGUGGUGUAGCGGUGAAAUGCAUAGAUAUCACGCAGAACUCCGAUUGCGAAGGCAGCUUACUAGGCCAUAACUGACACUGAAGCACGAAAGCGUGGGGAUCAAACAGGAUUAGAUACCCUGGUAGUC